AACGAACGCUGGCGGCAUGCCUAACACAUGCAAGUCGAACGAGACCUUCGGGUCUAGUGGCGCACGGGUGCGUAACGCGUGGGAACCUGCCCUUAGGUUCGGAAUAACUCCCCGAAAGGGGUGCUAAUACCGGAUAAUGUCUUCGGACCAAAGAUUUAUCGCCUUUGGAUGGGCCCGCGUUGGAUUAGCUAGUUGGUAGGGUAAAAGCCUACCAAGGCGACGAUCCAUAGCUGGUCUGAGAGGAUGAUCAGCCACACUGGGAUGGAGACACGGCCCAGCCUCCUCCGGGGGGCAGAGGUGGGGAAUUUGGGCAAUGGGGCGAAGGCUGGUCCCAGCAAUCCCGCGUGAGUAAUGAGGGCCUAGGGGUGGUAAAGCUUUUUUCCCCGGAAUGAUAAGGACAGUCCGGGGAGAAAAAGCCCCGGCUAACUC
Molecule: ribosomal RNA, 429 nt
Filed under: uncultured bacterium
Lineage: Bacteria
Description: partial 16S ribosomal RNA
Rfam family: Bacterial small subunit ribosomal RNA
Source: RNAcentral